This is a long non-coding RNA of Macaca fascicularis (crab-eating macaque), 1684 nucleotides long. The record is from Ensembl. NCBI's taxonomy places the organism in Eukaryota, Metazoa, Chordata, Mammalia, Primates, Cercopithecidae.
CAGGACAGGCCAAGCCAAGCAAAUCUGGUUGUCUUUUUACCCAUUCAUUUCAGAAAGUAGCCAUCAUCAACCAGGUACAGUGGCUCACACCUAUAAUCCCAGCAUUUUGGAAGGCUGAGGCAGGCUGGUCACUUGAGGCCAGGAGUUCGAGACCAGCCUGGCCACGAUAGUAUAACCCUGUCUCUAUUUAAAAAGAUACAAAAAAUUAGGGGGGCAUGGUGGCGCGUGCCUGUACUCCCAGCUACUAGGGAGGCUGAGGCAGGAGAAUCAUUUGAAAUAGGGAGGUGAAGGUUGAAGUGAGCCGAGAUUGCGCCACUGUACUCCAGUCUGGGCAACAGAGUGAGGCGCCAUCUCAAAAAAAAAAAAAGAAAAGAAAAAGAAAAAAGGAAAAAGAAAAAAAGAGGCCAGGCAUGGUGGCUCACGCCUGUAAUCCCAGCACUUUGGGAGGCCAAGGCAGGCGGAUCCCAAGGUCAGGAGAUCGAGACCAUCCUGGCUAAUACAGUGAAACCCCGUCUCUACUAAAAAUACAAAAAAUUAACUGGGCGUGGUGGCAGGCGCCUGUAGUCCCAGCUACUCAGGAGGCUGAGGCAAGAGAAUGGCGUAAAUCUGGGAGGUGGAGCUUGCAGUGAGCCGAGAUCGCGCCACUGCACUGCAGCCUGGGCGACAGAGCCAGACUCUGUCUUGGAAGGAGGGAGGGAGGGAAGGAAGGGAGGGAGGGAAAUUAGCCACCAUCCUUGGGUCCUCUAGUCCCAAUGUCUCACACCUAAUCCUUCAGGAAUUCCUGUUAAGUUCUAGUUUCAAAGUAUCUCAUGAAUCCAUCCACUUGUCUACUUCUCUUCUGUCCCACUGAAGUUCUAGCCACCAUCCUCUUUUGCCUGGACCAUAGAAAGAGGGUCCUAAUUAGUCUUCCUAAUUCUCUGCUUGUCUCUCAAUCCAUGCUUCACUCAGCAACCAGGGCAAUCUAAUUAAAAUUUAAGUGAGACCACAUUGCAAUCUGGCUUAAAACCUUUGAAUGGCUUUUUGUUGUACCAAGAAUAAAAUCCAAACUUUGUAUCACCAACUACCAGAGCCUCAUCUUCAACUAUCACAUCUCACGUUGCUUCUUUUCCUGUCCUUGCUCCAGCAACCCUGACCAUCUACAGAUUCCUAGAACCCAUCAAGCUCUUUCCCUCCCCAGGCCUUUGUGGCUACCAUUGUCUCCGCCUGGAAUACUUUUUGCCUGGUUCUGUCUCUUCUUCAGGUUUCAGCUUAAUUGUUAUAUCCUUCUCUGACCUCCCACCAUAUCCAAAAUAAGAACUUUCUGUUAUUUUCUAUCACGGUACUUCGUUUACUUCCUUUACAACACCGCUAACAAUUUGUAAUUGUUUUUGUGAAUUUACUCUUUCAUUUUCUGUCUCCUCUACUGGAUUGUCAGCUCCAUGGGGACAGUAACCUGGCUGGCUGGCUCUCCGUUAUGUCCCAGCAUCUAGCAUAGUUUGAGACCAGCCUGGGCAACAUAGCAAAAUCACGUCUCUACAGAAAAAGACAAAAAUUAGCUGGGCGUGGGUGGGCACCUGUAGUCCCAGUUACUUGGGAGGCUGAGGUGGGAGGAUCAUUUGAGACCGGGAAGUUGAGGCUGCAGUGAGCUGAGAUCCUGCCACUGGGGCAACAGAGCCAGACUCCGUCUCAAAAAAAAAAAAAAAAA